ACUUGCUCGGGCGCUCAAACUGGACGCGGCAAAUGUAGGAUUGGCGGUCCGACGCGAGCCUCGCGACCUAACAUGGCGUCGGGCAGGAAAUCCACCCAACACAGAAACAUGAUCGCUACCAAUAGUGAGUCUCUGGCGUAUCUCCACAGCUUGGGUUUCCCUUAUGGUUGCGAUACGCGAACAGGCCUGAUAAGGGGAGCGCAUUCCAUCCGAGCGCAGCGCAGGCAAGCAAAACUGGAAAAUGGACAAGUGUUGUUUUCUGAUGCCAGGGUGCAAGUAGAGAUGUCUUAGAUGAUCACUUGUUAUGCUGUUAUCUCUCUUAUCCUUGUAUAUCGUAACGUGUAAUGACUUGAGUUCCGCAAGUCCUCACUGUAGCAAGCGCGCCCGAAUAAUAAAGUAACAAUAAAAUCACUCAAUUAUAUUAUGAAACAGAACUCGUAAUUUUUGCAUGAUAACAUUUAAUUCUUGUAACUACUUUUAAAAAUUCAGUUCUUUUAUGCUACUAGAUUAAGUAGGUGGUUGCUCAUCUCGUUCUCUUGUCUUAUUCGCCGUAAGCGUUUGUUCGUCUAGCAGAGGACGGGUGAGGAUUGUGCGAAUACGAUUUGAAUUCUGUAGCAUUAGAACAAUCUUUGUACACGUCUGAUACUUUCGCGCUUCAGAUCCCAGCACUAAAUCAAAUGGCAUCAGAGGCGUGGCCUUCUUCGUUAUAGCAGAAUGGCAUAACUUGCUUAUGGCAGAAAGUAAAAUGUUUCUUCUAAUUAAUCACUGAAGUAAUCGGUUGACAGCAACAGGAACACACAAAAAGGAACAAUCUGCUGGAUGUCUAUUCAACUUGGCUUUCUGGACCUUUAUGACUUAGAGUUUCAGCCGCUAUUAAAAGGUCAUUUCCACAGUUUUUAAUUAAAACUGAUUUGCUGUAUCCUUUUUAUAUUCUUUUUAAACUGCUUGCAGUGUAUGCAUGCGUAUAUUUAUAUAUCUUUUAUUUUCUGCCACGUAUUUUCAAAGUAAAAUAGAAUUCUUUGAUAUCCCUGCUUUAAUGUUUAGUAUUUCUGACUUGAGGCGAUAUACCAACAUGAGUUUAACCGGAGUGACCUCUUUUAGACGCAGAGUCUGGAAAGCCGAUUACAAGGUCUGAUCAUAUUCACGUGAUCCUACUACUGACAAGAAACCGUUUUUUCCCGUCCGGUUAAAGCAAGUACAAGUCUUAAUGUAAAAGAUCCACGACGAAGAUCUCCUUUUCCUUCUUACUAGUUAUGCCUUUGCCCUAGGGGCCUAAUAAAUUACACACACAGACACUAA
Nematostella vectensis (starlet sea anemone) is the source of this 1299-nucleotide long non-coding RNA. RefSeq lists it as uncharacterized. The record is from RefSeq and is a predicted model, not a curated record. Lineage: Eukaryota; Metazoa; Cnidaria; Anthozoa; Actiniaria; Edwardsiidae. The transcript has 2 exons.